RNAcentral lists this ribosomal RNA (1002 nucleotides) under uncultured Bifidobacterium sp. RNAcentral describes it as "bacterial SSU rRNA". It matches the Rfam family "Bacterial small subunit ribosomal RNA", at positions 511 to 1507 of the family's 1533-position model. The record is from RNAcentral. Lineage: Bacteria; Bacillati; Actinomycetota; Actinomycetes; Bifidobacteriales; Bifidobacteriaceae.
GCCGCCGCGGUAAUACGUAGGGUGCAAGCGUUAUCCGGAAUUAUUGGGCGUAAAGGGCUCGUAGGCGGUUCGUCGCGUCCGGUGUGAAAGUCCAUCGCUUAACGGUGGAUUCGCGCCGGGUACGGGCGGGCUUGAGUGCGGUAGGGGAGACUGGAAUUCCCGGUGUAACGGUGGAAUGUGUAGAUAUCGGGAAGAACACCAAUGGCGAAGGCAGGUCUCUGGGCCGUUACCGACGCUGAGGAGCGAAAGCGUGGGGAGCGAACAGGAUUAGAUACCCUGGUAGUCCACGCCGUAAACGGUGGAUGCUGGAUGUGGGGCCCGUUCCACGGGUUCCGUGUCGGAGCUAACGCGUUAAGCAUCCCGCCUGGGGAGUACGGCCGCAAGGCUAAAACUCAAAGAAAUUGACGGGGGCCCGCACAAGCGGCGGAGCAUGCGGAUUAAUUCGAUGCAACGCGAAGAACCUUACCUGGGCUUGACAUGUUCCCGACGAUCCCAGAGAUGGGGUUUCCCUUCGGGGCGGGUUCACAGGUGGUGCAUGGUCGUCGUCAGCUCGUGUCGUGAGAUGUUGGGUUAAGUCCCGCAACGAGCGCAACCCUCGCCCCGUGUUGCCAGCGGAUUGUGCCGGGAACUCACGGGGGACCGCCGGGGUUAACUCGGAGGAAGGUGGGGAUGACGUCAGAUCAUCAUGCCCCUUACGUCCAGGGCUUCACGCAUGCUACAAUGGCCGGUACAACGGGAUGCGACGCGGCGACGCGGAGCGGAUCCCUGAAAACCGGUCUCAGUUCGGAUCGCAGUCUGCAACUCGACUGCGUGAAGGCGGAGUCGCUAGUAAUCGCGAAUCAGCAACGUCGCGGUGAAUGCGUUCCCGGGCCUUGUACACACCGCCCGUCAAGUCAUGAAAGUGGGCAGCACCCGAAGCCGGUGGCCUAACCCCUUGUGGGAUGGAGCCGUCUAAGGUGAGGCUCGUGAUUGGGACUAAGUCGUAACAAGGUAACCAAUCGA